This is a long non-coding RNA of Oncorhynchus nerka (sockeye salmon), 575 nucleotides long. RefSeq lists it as uncharacterized. NCBI's taxonomy places the organism in Eukaryota, Metazoa, Chordata, Actinopteri, Salmoniformes, Salmonidae. The transcript is spliced from 3 exons. The record is from RefSeq and is a predicted model, not a curated record.
GGUAGCCUUUUUCCACCUGUGUUUUGUGGAUGUUUAUUUUCUGUCUUUGUGUUACGUGUGUAUGUCACCAGACAGGACUGUUUCGUUCGUUCAUUUUGUAUUGAUUCAGUGUUUUCUUUAAUUAAAAACACUUACCACUCUGCGAUCCUUACUCCUCCUCAGACGAAGAGGAGGAAAUCCGUUACAAACACACAAGUAGUUUCCAGUUGUCUUGAAAGCACCAUAAAUCCAGAAAAUGCCAGACUUUGAUGGCAAAAUUUGCCCACGAAGGACUGCAGUGCCACCUUCCUGUUUAAGUGAGCACAGCACAACAAGCACUCUCCAGCAAGAAGUUGAGCAGGUCCUUGUCCUUGAACUCGGUUCCCAUGGUAACCCCCUCGCCACCCUUUAACCUCUCCAUGGCGAUGAUGAGGUUGGCAAUGUGGCGCAUGGUGAUGGGGUGAUGGGAUACCUCCAGAUCCAGACCCUGAGGCAGCUUGGAGCUCCAUGCUGCGCUUUCAGAGGUGUUCUGCACAGGACACACACAGGGGAAGAGGAAAUAUUACAUUAUAUGUUGUAUCAGUGUAUAAUUGUUU